RNAcentral lists this ribosomal RNA (254 nucleotides) under uncultured bacterium. Its description in RNAcentral is "partial 16S ribosomal RNA". It matches the Rfam family "Bacterial small subunit ribosomal RNA", at positions 524 to 777 of the family's 1533-position model. The record is from RNAcentral.
UACGAAGGGGGCUAGCGUUGCUCGGAAUCACUGGGCGUAAAGGGUGCGUAGGCGGGUCUUUAAGUCAGGGGUGAAAUCCUGGAGCUCAACUCCAGAACUGCCUUUGAUACUGAAGAUCUUGAGUUCGGGAGAGGUGAGUGGAACUGCGAGUGUAGAGGUGAAAUUCGUAGAUAUUCGCAAGAACACCAGUGGCGAAGGCGGCUCACUGGCCCGAUACUGACGCUGAGGCGCGAAAGCGUGGGGAGCAAACAGGG